This 397-nucleotide ribosomal RNA is filed under the name uncultured bacterium. Its description in RNAcentral is "bacterial SSU rRNA". It matches the Rfam family "Bacterial small subunit ribosomal RNA", at positions 521 to 916 of the family's 1533-position model. The record is from RNAcentral.
UAAUACAGAGGGUGCGAGCGUUGUUCGGAAUUAUUGGGCGUAAAGCGCGUGUAGGCGGGAUUGUGUGUCGGGUGUGAAAGCCCUCAGCUCAACUGAGGAAGUGCGCCCGAAACUGCAGUUCUUGAGUGUCGGAGAGGGUGGCGGAAUUCCCGGUGUAGAGGUGAAAUUCGUAGAUAUCGGGAGGAACACCAGAGGCGAAGGCGGCCACCUGGACGAACACUGACGCUGAGACGCGAAAGCGUGGGGAGCAAACAGGAUUAGAUACCCUGGUAGUCCACGCCGUAAACGAUGAGUGCUAGCUGUUGCGGGUGUUGACCCCUGCAGUGGCGAAGCCAACGCAUUAAGCACUCCGCCUGGGAAGUACGGCCGCAAGGCUAAAACUUAAAUGAAUUGACGG